This 440-nucleotide ribosomal RNA is filed under the name uncultured bacterium. Its description in RNAcentral is "partial 16S ribosomal RNA". It matches the Rfam family "Bacterial small subunit ribosomal RNA", at positions 338 to 795 of the family's 1533-position model. The record is from RNAcentral.
CCUACGGGGGGCAGCAGUGGGGAAUAUUGCACAAUGGGGGAAACCCUGAUGCAGCGACGCCGCGUGAGUGAAGAAGUAAUUCGUUAUGUAAAGCUCUAUCAGCAGGGAAGAAAAUGACGGUACCUGAGUAAGAAGCCCCGGCUAACUACGUGCCAGCAGCCGCGGUAAUACGUAGGGGGCAAGCGUUAUCCGGAUUUACUGGGUGUAAAGGGAGCGUAGACGGCAGUGCAAGUCUGGAGUGAAAGGCGGGGGCGCAACCCCCGGACUGCUCUGGAAACUGUACGGCUGGAGUGCAGGAGAGGUAAGUGGAAUUCCUAGUGUAGCGGUGAAAUGCGGAGAUAUUAGGAGGAACACCAGUUGCGAAGGCGGCUCUCUGGACUGUAACUGACACUGAGGCACGAAAGCGUGGGGAGCAAACAGGAUUAGAUACCCGUGUAGUC